GCAGGGGUGGAAGUGUGGUAACACAUGGAGCUGACUGCUACUAAUAGGGUGAGGGCUUGACCAA
Molecule: ribosomal RNA, 64 nt
Filed under: Blautia obeum
Lineage: Bacteria; Bacillati; Bacillota; Clostridia; Lachnospirales; Lachnospiraceae
Description: partial 23S ribosomal RNA
Source: RNAcentral